GGAGGCCAUGAUGGAGGAGCACCAGCCUUUUAUAUCACAAGGGGCCAUCCACAAAAACAAUAUAUUCUUUUUCCCGAAUGAGCCACCAAGGAUGGACAGGAAGGAGAUCAGCAGAAGAAUAUUAGACCUCACCUUGGAGAUCAUCUCCCUGCUGAGCGGAGAGGAGUACACAAUAGUGAUGAAAACAUCGG
Long non-coding RNA from Bufo bufo (common toad), 191 nucleotides. RefSeq lists it as uncharacterized. The record is from RefSeq and is a predicted model, not a curated record. The transcript has 3 exons. Lineage: Eukaryota; Metazoa; Chordata; Amphibia; Anura; Bufonidae.